AAGACUAUACUUCACAGGAUCAUUUCUGUAGUAAGUCUUCAUUACUUUCCGAUGAAAAUUGGAAUUUUUACACAACUAUGAGGAAGAGUUAAAUCGUCUUUUCUGGAGCGUGAGGUUUGAGUUAAGUUCGCAAUUUAUUGUGAAAUUAAUUUGUCGAUGAUCGCUUGUUAAAAACAGAUAAGACGAAUUCAGAGUAGU
Condylostylus longicornis is the source of this 198-nucleotide small nucleolar RNA. RefSeq annotates it as small nucleolar RNA U3. The record is from RefSeq and is a predicted model, not a curated record. The transcript has a single exon. Lineage: Eukaryota; Metazoa; Arthropoda; Insecta; Diptera; Dolichopodidae.